AUACUUAGUGGCGAACGGGUGAGUAUAAUGUGGGUAUCUGCCUUUUGGUGAGGAAUAACAUGGGGAAACCUGUGCUAAUACCUCAUAAGCCUUUACAGGGAAAGUUUUAACGCCGAAAGAUGAGCCCGCACUUGAUUAGCUAGUUGGUAAGGUAAUGGCUUACCAAGGCUACGAUCAAUAGCUGAUCUGAGAGGAUGAUCAGCCACAUUGGGACUGAGACACGGCCCAAACUCCUACGGGAGGCAGCAGUAGGGAAUAUUGCACAAUGGGGGAAACCCUGAUGCAGCGAUGCCGCGUGAGUGAAGAAGGCCUUUGGGUUGUAAAGCUCUUUCGUCGAGGAAGAAAAUGACUGUACUCGAAUAAGAAGGUCCGGCUAACUUCGUGCCAGCAGCCGCGGUAAUACGAAGGGACCUAGCGUAGUUCGGAAUUACUGGGCUUAAAGAGCUCGUAGGUGGUUAGAAAAGUUGAUGGUGAAAUCCCAAGGCUUAACCUUGGAACUGCCAUCAAAACUUUUUGACUAGAGUGUGAUAGAGGAAAGUGGAAUUUCUAGUGUAGAGGUGAAAUUCGUAGAUAUUAGAAAGAACACCGAUUGCGAA
This 596-nucleotide ribosomal RNA is filed under the name uncultured bacterium. RNAcentral describes it as "bacterial SSU rRNA". It matches the Rfam family "Bacterial small subunit ribosomal RNA", at positions 88 to 719 of the family's 1533-position model. The record is from RNAcentral.